AACUUCCUUUUCCAAACAUUCUAACGUCGGCCACACUAGAAAAUAGGCAGUGACGUUAUUUCAAUUUUCUUUCUUCCUGAGCAGAAAAUGAAAAAGAAGUGAGCAGCAACGUACUGCUCCACAAACAUUAGGCUCAGUACUUAAAAUAUUAAGCAAGCAGCAAAUUUAUAUAAUUUUGUGACGGGUUUCGCUCACCGCUUCGAUUUCGUCGUUUGUUUUGUCGUGUUGUUGAGUUCGGACUUUCUUUGAAGUGAAGUAAGGUGGAAGAAGAAUAUUUCUUGGCACAUAAGAGUUAUUUCAGGUGAUGUUCGGAGUCUCACGACCGUUUCGAGGCAUUCGUCAAAGGCGUUUGGGUGAGCUAUUUGAGAUAUUGCAACCCAGAGUCUCUCCUUAGAUUUCUGUUGUUCUCUAUCCUUAAACAGAAGUCGUAUCCAGUUUGAGUCUGUUAUCUACUUCAAAUUGUAAACUUCUUAGAAGCUCUUGUAUGAGUCUAGACCAGGUUUUGGGAAUUUCUUAUAAUAAAAGUAUUUAUUCCG
Lycium barbarum (goji berry) is the source of this 536-nucleotide long non-coding RNA. RefSeq lists it as uncharacterized. Lineage: Eukaryota; Viridiplantae; Streptophyta; Magnoliopsida; Solanales; Solanaceae. The record is from RefSeq and is a predicted model, not a curated record. The transcript has 2 exons.